ACGCUCAUUUCGAAAAAAGAGGGUUUGAGGGGGAAGAGAAUGCUAGAAGCGAAGAGCUUGCGGAAGGCGGCCGUGCCGCCGUCGCUCCUCGGCGAUCCGUCGCCAGGCAACAUCCAAGCCACUCGCCUCGCCCUACACGUUAACGAUGGAGGUUCUUCCUGCUCUGUAUACAUCGCUUCCGGAUGCAGCGUCUACAAGAUCGAGAUAUCCAUGGAAGAUUCUAUUAUAACUACAGGAAAAGAAAGCCUUCUCAUUCCUGUUAAUGCAGAGGUUAAACAUUCAUCGAUCGUUGACCGUUGUCCUCAUCGUUCAGAGGUCCAAAGUGUAGCGCUUACGCAAGGAGACGAUAAUUGCCUUAUUAUGGGUUCUGUAGAUUGUUAUGGUCAUCUUAUUGUAUCAUGGUUGGAUGCACUUGGUUCAGACAUUGACAGGAUUUCUUAUUCAGUGUUGCCUCGGGAUUGUGGUAUUGGUGAAGGGAGUUGGGCUGGUGUCUGCUUUAGUCCAGUGCAGUGGUCCACAGUAGCAGUUGCCCGCAGCUUUUGCAAAAGUAUUGAUAUUUAUGAUCAAGAUAUUCACAUUAGGAGUUUACACACAUUGUGGUAUCCAGCUUCAUUGACCUUCUUCAGUAAUCCAUAUUACGAAGGAUGCCCCUCUGUACUAGCUGUUACUGAAGGCUCACAGUUGUCUGUCUGGGACUUGAGGACCAACCAAAAUGGUGGAUGUGUACAACGUGUUUGUGGCUCCGUUGGAGACCUCAUGUAUGCCCUGUGUAGUUCACCUUCUGGAGCAAUUGCUGUUGGUGGGACUGAUCGUGCUGUUACCAUAUAUGAUCCUCGCAGGUGGUCAGCAGUUUCAAGAUGGGUGAACUGCUCAAAAUACGAGAUAACAGGGCUUGCUUUCUCAACUAUAAACUCUGAUUAUAUUUACGUCCAAGGUAUUGAUUAUGAGGUUACUUGUGGAGCAUGGAAGGAAAGCAAAAGGACUUUCUCAUUUAGGGGAGACUCAAACUGGUUGGGCUUUAGUAAGUGUUCAAAUGCAGAUGUUCUUGCAGGAUGGUGCGACUCUGGUAGUAUCUUUGUGGCUGAUGCUGUAGAACAGCACUAACGAAUACAGUGUAUACUGGAGGCGAGCCAGGCGAAAAAAGAAAGGAAGAGUGCUCUGAAGUUCUUAUCAAUUUAUCUGAUACACCAGUGUUAAUGACAUGUACUCUGAGGCAAGGGACAGAUCGACGCAGGAUAAAUCUUCAUGGAAGGCUCGUGUACUCGAACCAUUGUAACUGGAUAAAUUGAAACAUCUGGCAUUCGCAUCACACAUUGAUAUUUCUACCAAACUGUUGAUGAAUGCCAAGUUCGGGUUCUCUGUUUAGUCAUCCUCUCGCCCAGUGUGUUUCAAUGUUCCUUUGUGAUCGUUUAGUUGUGUAACAUAACAAAAUAUUAAAUAGUUACUGUGUAAUUUUGUAAUUCUCCAGUGAUGCUAUCUUCUAUUUAACAUUACAAAAUAUGGGAUAUUCACGUAAUUCAAAAAUCACUCUUAGAAAUUUAAA
This is an RNA transcript of Zingiber officinale, 1543 nucleotides long. RefSeq lists it as uncharacterized. The transcript is spliced from 15 exons. Lineage: Eukaryota; Viridiplantae; Streptophyta; Magnoliopsida; Zingiberales; Zingiberaceae. The record is from RefSeq and is a predicted model, not a curated record.